GUCGGUACCAAUGGCUGUGAGGGUCCACCUGUUCCCAUCCCGAACACAGAAGUUAAGCUCACACGCGCCGAAAAUACUUGGGUGGUGACGCCCCGGGAAGAUAGGUCGGCGCCGACA
This 117-nucleotide ribosomal RNA is filed under the name Clostridia bacterium. Lineage: Bacteria; Bacillati; Bacillota; Clostridia. The record is from RNAcentral.